GUCCACGCCCUAAACGAUGUCAACUGGUUGUUGGGUCUUAACUGACUCAGUAACGAAGCUAACGCGUGAAGUUGACCGCCUGGGGAGUACGGCCGCAAGGUUGAAACUCAAAGGAAUUGACGGGGACCAGCACAAGCGGUGGAUGAUGUGGUUUAAUUCGAUGCAACGCGAAAAAACCUUACCCACCUUUGACAUGUACGGAAGCCUUUAGAGAUGGAGGCGUGCUCGAAAGAGAGCCGUAACACAGGUGCUGCAUGGCUGUCGU
RNAcentral lists this ribosomal RNA (265 nucleotides) under uncultured bacterium. Its description in RNAcentral is "partial 16S ribosomal RNA". It matches the Rfam family "Bacterial small subunit ribosomal RNA", at positions 793 to 1055 of the family's 1533-position model. The record is from RNAcentral.